Mauremys reevesii (Reeves's turtle) is the source of this 1168-nucleotide long non-coding RNA. RefSeq lists it as uncharacterized. The transcript is spliced from 7 exons. Lineage: Eukaryota; Metazoa; Chordata; Testudines; Geoemydidae. The record is from RefSeq and is a predicted model, not a curated record.
AAAGGCUUCUAAAGUUGUUUUGGUUUUUUUUCCUCCUUAGAUUGGAAAAGAGGGAAAUUACCAUAAAGGAACUGUCUUUAUCCUCUAGCUUAGUCACAUUUCUUAAUACAAUGAUUAUAUUGAAUUAUUCACAGAACAGCUGAGUAGGUUUUUUUCAGUAAGCUGCCACAACCCUAUAUUUUCUGCUGGCUAUUUCAGCACAUUCCCACUGAAUGCAGGAAUACAGGCUCCAGGGACCAAUCUCACCAUCUGACAGAGCUGGAAGACAAAGACAAAAGAGACCCAAGAGGACAGUUCUAAAAAAGUACGGAGAAAACUUGCUUGUUGUUAGAAACCAUCUCUUUCUAUAUGAAAUUGUCUACAAUUCUACUGGCUAAUCCACCUAUAGAUUCUGCAACUCAUUUUCACGGAUACACGGAGAAAGAACAGGUUUAAGAUUGUACAAUGGAUUUAUAGUCUGCAGAGACAACAUGCAAAUCUGUGAAACCAAGCAAGAAUAUUUCUCCCUCCACCUCAAUAAACUGAAUGAACAGAUGUAUCCAAAGCGUAGCUGAGCCCAGAAACAUGAUCCAUGCAUGACCACCCUCUCCCUGUUGCUGCAGGAUAAGGACAAGUGCAGUUUAUUAAUGGAGAGUUAAAUCAAUUAGCAAUUAAUCUAGCAAUGAAGAGGCAGGCUGCCGAAUUAAUGGAGGAAACAAGAGCAGCUGUAAUUACGCAUCAUUUCUUUCCACACAUGUUUAAAGAGGAAGAACUUUUUUUGUCAGAGAGAGCAUGUUGAAUCUCUGCACAGUGCACACUAGUCAGUGACUUCUCUAGUUUCAGCUUUCUCAGUUAUCUGUUGGAAGUUCCUCGUCCAACUUCAGCUGCUAGAGAGAUCCUCACCUUGACAUCUUCCCAGACAUGGUGAAAUUAUAGAUCAUCACUUGGGCCGGAUCCUGUGAUGUGCUGGGCAUCUUAAACUUGUGCAAUGAAAGUCUAUCCUAUUGAAAUCUAUGAAUACUAUCCUGCAGAAAUACAAGCAGCAUGGACUGGAAGACCAAAGAGGACAGCAAUAAAAGCACCCCUCCUUGUACCACGCUCCUCAGUGUAACACCAACACCUGCUAAUGUGUCUACCAGGGUACCAUCCAAUCGAAAGACAGCAGGCUGUUAUACAGCCCCUAGAACAG